UCGAGGGCUUUACUGUCUCUUACUUCCAAUCCGUGAAAUUGACCUUCCCGUGAAGAGGCGGGAAUAUGACAAUAAGACGAGAAGACCCUAUGGAGCUUUAAUUAACCGACCCAAAGAGAUCUUGAUAAUCAACCGACAGGGAUAACAUACCUCUACCAUGGGCCGACAAUUUAGGUUGGGGUGACCUCGGAGAAUAAAACAACCUCCGAGUGAUUUAAAUCUAGACUAACUAGUCGAAAGUACUACAUCACUUAUUGAUCCAAAAACUUGAUCAACGGAACAAGUUACCCUAGGGAUAACAGCGCAAUCCUAUUUUAGAGUCCAUAUCGAC
RNAcentral lists this ribosomal RNA (331 nucleotides) under Panthera onca (jaguar). RNAcentral describes it as "partial 16S ribosomal RNA". It matches the Rfam family "Bacterial large subunit ribosomal RNA", at positions 2004 to 2509 of the family's 2925-position model. Lineage: Eukaryota; Metazoa; Chordata; Mammalia; Carnivora; Felidae. The record is from RNAcentral.